This 253-nucleotide ribosomal RNA is filed under the name uncultured bacterium. RNAcentral describes it as "partial 16S ribosomal RNA". It matches the Rfam family "Bacterial small subunit ribosomal RNA", at positions 524 to 776 of the family's 1533-position model. The record is from RNAcentral.
UACGGAGGAUGCAAGCGUUAUCCAGAAUCAUUGGGCGUAAAGCGUCCGCAGGUGGCAUUUCAAGUCUGCUGUCAAAGGUCGGGGCUUAACUCCGAACAGGCAGUGGAAACUGAGAAGCUAGAGUAUGGUAGGGGCAGAGGGAAUUCCUGGUGUAGCGGUGAAAUGCGUAGAGAUCAGGAAGAACACCGGUGGCGAAAGCGCUCUGCUAGGCCAUAACUGACGCUCAGGGACGAAAGCUAGGGGAGCGAAUGGG